UAAGUUAGUGGCGGACGGGUGAGUAACGCGUGGGUAACCUGCCUUGUACUGGGGGACAACAGUUGGAAACGACUGCUAAUACCGUAUAAGACCACAGCACCGCAUGGUGCAGGGGUAAAAAACGUACCGGUGGUACAGGAUGGACCCGCGUCUGAUUAGCUGGUUGGUGAGGUAACGGCUCACCAAGGCGACGAUCAGUAGCCGGCUUGAGAGAGUGAACGGCCACAUUGGGACUGAGAGACGGCCCAAACUCCUACGGGAGGCAGCAUG
Molecule: ribosomal RNA, 270 nt
Filed under: uncultured bacterium
Lineage: Bacteria
Description: partial 16S ribosomal RNA
Rfam family: Bacterial small subunit ribosomal RNA
Source: RNAcentral